RNAcentral lists this unclassified non-coding RNA (360 nucleotides) under uncultured Phialocephala. Its description in RNAcentral is "sequence contains ITS2". The stretch from base 1 to 154 matches the Rfam family "5.8S ribosomal RNA". Lineage: Eukaryota; Fungi; Ascomycota; Leotiomycetes; Helotiales. The record is from RNAcentral.
AACUUUCAGCAACGGAUCUCUUGGUUCUGGCAUCGAUGAAGAACGCAGCGAAUUGCGAUAAGUAAUGUGAAUUGCAGAAUUCAGUGAAUCAUCGAAUCUUUGAACGCACAUUGCGCCCUGUGGUAUUCCGCAGGGCAUGCCUGUUCGAGCGUCAUUUAACCACUCACGCCUAGCGUGGUAUUGGGGCACGCGGUCUCGCGGCCCUCAAAAUUAGUGGCGGCGCCGGUGGGCUCUAAGCGUAGUACAUACUCCCGCUAUAGAGUUCCCCUGGUGGCUUGCCAGAACCCCCAAUUUUUACAGGUUGACCUCGGAUCAGGUAGGGAUACCCGCUGAACUUAAGCAUAUCAAUAAGCGGAGGCU